This 440-nucleotide ribosomal RNA is filed under the name uncultured bacterium. RNAcentral describes it as "bacterial SSU rRNA". It matches the Rfam family "Bacterial small subunit ribosomal RNA", at positions 338 to 788 of the family's 1533-position model. The record is from RNAcentral.
CCUACGGGGGGCUGCAGUCGAGGAUCUUCGGCAAUGGGCGCAAGCCUGACCGAGCGACGCCGCGUGUGCGAUGAAGGCCUUCGGGUUGUAAAGCACUGUCGAGGGGGAGGAAACCGCAAGGUUGACCUAUCCCUGGAGGAAGCACGGGCUAAGUUCGUGCCAGCAGCCGCGGUAAGACGAACCGUGCGAACGUUGUUCGGAUUCACUGGGCUUAAAGGGCGCGUAGGCGGCGGAUCUAGUCGGGGGUGAAAGCUUCCCGCCCAACGGGAAAAGGGCCUCCGAUACUGGUUCGCUCGAGGGGGGUAGGGGCAUGCGGAACUAAUGGUGGAGCGGUGAAAUGCGUAGAUAUCAUUAGGAACGCCGGUGGCGAAAGCGGCGUGCUGGACCCCUUCUGACGCUGAGGCGCGAAAGCCAGGGGAGCAAACGGGAUUAGAUACCCU